GAGAGGACGUCCCACACUGGAACUGAGACACGGUCCAGACUCCUACGGGAGGCAGCAG
Molecule: ribosomal RNA, 58 nt
Filed under: uncultured bacterium
Lineage: Bacteria
Description: partial 16S ribosomal RNA
Source: RNAcentral